RNAcentral lists this ribosomal RNA (253 nucleotides) under uncultured bacterium. Its description in RNAcentral is "partial 16S ribosomal RNA". It matches the Rfam family "Bacterial small subunit ribosomal RNA", at positions 524 to 776 of the family's 1533-position model. The record is from RNAcentral.
UACGGAGGAUCCAAGCGUUAUCCGGAUUCAUUGGGUUUAAAGGGUGCGUAGGGGGAACGAUAAGUCAGUGGUGAAAGCCCUCAGCUUAACUGAGGAACUGCCAUUGAUACUGUCGAUCUUGAGUACAUUUGAUGUGGGCGGAAUGUGUCAUGUAGCGGUGAAAUGCUUAGAUAUGACACAGAACACCGAUUGCGAAGGCAGCUCACAAAACUGUAACUGACGCUGAGGCACGGAAGCGUGGGGAUCAAACAGG